UACUUUUCAAUUAGUAAAUUUAGUAUUAUUAAUUAAUUUUAUUUUUUACAUUUUUUAUCCUUAUUUUAAUUGAUCUAAGUAUAGAAUUUUAAUUUAUUAACCUGAGUAAUUAAAUUUCCAGUUGAAAGAGUUGAUAGAGUUGCAGCAUUUUUAGAGAAAUAUCAACCUUUCCUUAAUGUGCUAUUAAUUGUUGGCGACAUAGCUCAUGUAUUAAAGUCUUCUGUCACAGUUGACUCAGCAAGAAUGAAGACAUUGAUACACUUUUGCAUUAUG
Non-coding RNA from Hydra vulgaris (swiftwater hydra), 273 nucleotides. NCBI's taxonomy places the organism in Eukaryota, Metazoa, Cnidaria, Hydrozoa, Anthoathecata, Hydridae. The record is from RefSeq and is a predicted model, not a curated record.